GACGGAGGGUGCUAGCGUUGUUCGGAAUGACUGGGCGUAAAGGGCGCGUAGGCGGCUCGUGAAGUCGGGUGUGAAAGCCCGGGGCUCAACCCCGGAACGGCAUCCGAUACUGGCGGGCUUGAGACCGGGAGAGGAGGGUGGAAUACCCAGUGUAGAGGUGAGAUUCGUAGAUAUUGGGUGGAACACCGGUGGCGAAAGCGGCUCUCUGGCCCGGAUCUGACGCUGAGGCGCGAAAGCGUGGGGAGCAAACAGG
This 253-nucleotide ribosomal RNA is filed under the name uncultured bacterium. RNAcentral's name for it is "partial 16S ribosomal RNA". It matches the Rfam family "Bacterial small subunit ribosomal RNA", at positions 524 to 776 of the family's 1533-position model. The record is from RNAcentral.